AUGGGCAUCUUACUGAUGAUAUAUGCAUCACUUUCUCUUUUGCUACUUGGGUCACUAGGAAACCUAACAGCGUUAGCAUCUGGAGUUGUAACAAGCCACAACCCCGAAGGGAAUUGGGCGCAUCCAUCACUUGCCAUGCUUGAUGGUUGCCUGAAGACAUGCGGCGAUCUGAGCUUCGACUACCCCUUUGGCAUUGGAUCCAGGUGCUCCCGGGGGCCUGAUUUCAAUCUCACUUGCGACGACACAGCUCAGUCCCCCAGACUUUUCUUGCGUGACGGCAUCACCGAAGUAAUUGACAACAUCGUCGUUGCUAGCGAUGGAGAUUACUACGACAAUGAUUAUGGAAUCAUUACCUCCUUUUGGCAUACUAUCCCCAUGAAGUCUGGUGUCCAUGUCUACUACUUGUCUUUCCAACCGCCUGGUAGAUCCUUCAGCCGUGGGGAAACCAUUCUGAACAUCACUGGUUGCGAUCUGGAUGUGUAUUGGGUCAACAAUAACACACACAGAACAACAUGGGUCUGUGGAACUGUGUGUCCGGACCAAGCAAUCACAGAGACCAUGUCGAGGCUCAACUGCAGUGGCAUCGGAUGUUGCAGUUUUCCUGUCACAGGUCUGCUUCCUGAUGCUUUUCAGCUCAAAUUUGUCCACCACCACAACAAAACUAGCACCGCAACACCCUCUAACCAGACCUCUAUGCUGUGGGACAGAAUCAGCAUAAGUGACGAUGAGACCGCAGUUUGGUGGAACAUAGUUGGUCAACCCAACUGUGCUAGCACCGUGCAAAACAGGUCAACGUAUGCCUGUAUCAGCAGGCAUUCAUUGUGCCGCGAUGAAAGUGUGACAUCAAACAACGGCUACAACUGCAUCUGUAAUGCUGGCUAUGCAGGCAGCCCCUUCCUUCAAGAUGGCUGUUCCAGAGAUGAAGGGUAUAAUCCAAUUCCGAGCAGAGCUAAUUGUACCCGUUGGUGUGGUAACAUUAGUGUGCCAUACCCAUUCGGCUUAGAAGAGGGUUGCUUUGCCAGGGAACAAUUCCAACUUAACUGUGCAAAUAUGGCAUCAUCAACUGUCCUCAUGUUUGAGUUUGACCAGGUAAUGAGCCUGAAUGUUGACGAAGGGACCAUUAAGUCCAUCGGGUCUGACCAACAAGGUGCAUCAUUUUACCACAUAUUUAGCAGGCGUGCUCUUUUUGUUGGAUAUGGCUACUUCUAUUCAAUGCAGUGGGUUGCAGCUAAUCUAAGUUGCAUAGAGGCCCAACAGAAUAUAUCUGGUUAUGCUUGUGUAAGCACCAACAGCAAGUGUGUAGCAGUAGAGGCUAAAAUUGACUAUGGUGAAUUGAGCUAUAUUGGGUACCGCUGUAAAUGCUCAGAUGGCUUCCGAGGAAAUCCAUACACCCAAAGUGGUUGUCAAGAUAUUGAUGAAUGCCUUCAACCAAACAUUUGUAAGGGGAUCUGCCAUAAUAUUGAAGGAAGCUUCUAUUGUACUGAAUGUCCUCACAAGACUGAGUACGAUCUACACAAAAUGCAGUGUACAACAACGAAACAACAUACUCUGCUUUCAGGUAUUAUCAUUGGGUUAUCUGGUGGCUUCGGCAUUCUAGCUCUGAGUUUUGGUACAGUAUUUCUCAUUCGUGUAUGGAAAAGAAAUAUUCAGCAACAACUACGGAAGAAUUAUUUUCGGAAGAACCAAGGUCUUCUACUAGAAACAUUGAUAUCAUCUGAUGAAAGUGCAAAUGACAAAACAAAGAUUUUCUCGUUAGAAGAGCUAGAAAAGGCAACAGACAACUUUGAUAGGGCCCGCAUUAUUGGCUGUGGGGGCCAUGGCAUGGUUUACAAAGGCAUGUUAUCUGAUCAACGUGUAGUUGCAAUAAAAAAAUCUAAGGUCAUUGAAAAGGCUGAGAUCACUCAAUUCAUCAAUGAGGUCGUUAUCCUCUCACAAGUAAAUCAUAGAAAUAUUGUGAAGCUCUUCGGGUGUUGUCUGGAAACUGAGGUUCCACUGCUUGUGUACGAAUAUAUAUCUUGUGGCUCACUGUCUAAAGUUCUCCAUGCUGACUCAAGCAAUAGUUUUUCUUUGUCCUGGGAUGAUUACGUAAGGAUUGCCUUGGAAACAGCAGGAGCACUAUCUUAUCUCCACUCAGCGGCUUCUAAAAAAAAACUGUAA
RNAcentral lists this ribosomal RNA (2157 nucleotides) under Triticum aestivum (bread wheat). RNAcentral describes it as "partial small subunit ribosomal RNA". The record is from RNAcentral. Lineage: Eukaryota; Viridiplantae; Streptophyta; Magnoliopsida; Poales; Poaceae.